This 65-nucleotide transfer RNA is filed under the name Lissachatina fulica (giant African snail). RNAcentral describes it as "tRNA-Phe". The record is from RNAcentral. Lineage: Eukaryota; Metazoa; Mollusca; Gastropoda; Stylommatophora; Achatinidae.
GGUAGCUUAUAAUGAAAGAGCAUAGUCUUGAAGGGACUAAGGAGAUAGCUAAAUACCUAUUACCA